AACGCGAAGAACCUUACCAACCCUUGACAUACUGGUCGCGGAUUCCAGAGAUGGAUUCCUUCAGUUCGGCUGGACCAGAUACAGGUGCUGCAUGGCUGUCGUCAGCUCGUGUCGUGAGAUGUUGGGUUAAGUCCCGCAACGAGCGCAACCCUCAUCUUCAGUUGCCAUCAUUAAGUUGGGCACUCUGGAGAAACUGCCGGUGACAAGCCGGAGGAAGGCGGGGAUGACGUCAAGUCCUCAUGGCCCUUAUGGGUUGGGCUACACACGUGCUACAAUGGCGGUGACAGUGGGCAGCAAUACCGCGAGGUGGAGCUAAUCCCCAAAAGCCGUCUCAGUUCGGAUUGUUCUCUGCAACUCGAGAGCAUGAGGGCGGAAUCGCUAGUAAUC
Molecule: ribosomal RNA, 387 nt
Filed under: uncultured bacterium
Lineage: Bacteria
Description: bacterial SSU rRNA
Rfam family: Bacterial small subunit ribosomal RNA
Source: RNAcentral